AUAGAGGAGCUGAGCACUUUGAAAUGUGCUCAUGAGCGCGAGGCAGGAGGAGUAGCAGCUUCUCUCCACAGACAGCUGCAGGACAAAAACUUGGAGCUCAGACAGCUCCACAGGAGCAUGGCUCAGUGGAAGCAGCAGACUGCAGCUCGCCUUGCGUGCAAGUUUGAAGAACAGUUAACAGCUGAACUGGAGAGGUGCAAAGCAAAGUUGAUAAGGAGCAGAAAAGCAUCAAAGACUGAAGAGGUCAGGCCCG
Long non-coding RNA from Nematolebias whitei (Rio pearlfish), 253 nucleotides. RefSeq lists it as uncharacterized. Lineage: Eukaryota; Metazoa; Chordata; Actinopteri; Cyprinodontiformes; Rivulidae. The transcript has 4 exons. The record is from RefSeq and is a predicted model, not a curated record.